ACUACUGAUCAGUGGUAAAGUGCUUGCCUA
Molecule: non-coding RNA, 30 nt
Filed under: Mus musculus (house mouse)
Lineage: Eukaryota; Metazoa; Chordata; Mammalia; Rodentia; Muridae
Source: RNAcentral